RNAcentral lists this small RNA (286 nucleotides) under Sporomusa sp. An4. Its description in RNAcentral is "5' ureB small RNA". It matches the Rfam family "5' ureB small RNA". Lineage: Bacteria; Bacillati; Bacillota; Negativicutes; Selenomonadales; Sporomusaceae. The record is from Rfam by way of RNAcentral.
CUGUUUCAAUUUGCUGGGGGCAAAUGAAGUGAAUGUGUGAAUCUAUGCCGCCAGCUGUAACGAUGUGGUUCUCGCCGGCAAUCACCUCUGUACCGGCCCCGAUAGAAAGAUUGACACCAGCCAUAGUUUUGGGAUUGCCAGCUUGACCUACUCCGUAAAUUCGACCAUCUUUAAUUCCAAUAUCAGCCUUGAUUAUACCCCAAUGAUCAAUGAUUACCGCGUUGGUAAUCACAAGAUCCAUGGCUUCAGCGAGCGCCUCCGGGUCUUGUCCCAUACCAUCACGUAU